This 242-nucleotide ribosomal RNA is filed under the name uncultured bacterium. RNAcentral's name for it is "partial 16S ribosomal RNA". It matches the Rfam family "Bacterial small subunit ribosomal RNA", at positions 88 to 334 of the family's 1533-position model. The record is from RNAcentral.
UGGAUUAGUGGCGAACGGGUGAGUAACACGUGGGUGAUCUGCCUCGUACUUCGGGAUAAGCCUGGGAAACUGGGUCUAAUACCGGAUAGGACCUUCCUUUAGUGUGGAAGGUGGAAAGUUUUUCGGUACGAGAUGAGCCCGCGGCCUAUCAGCUUGUUGGUGGGGUAAUGGCCUACCAAGGCGACGACGGGUAGCCGGCCUGAGAGGGUGUACGGCCACAUUGGGACUGAGACACGGCCCAA